CCUACGGGGGGCUGCAGUGGGGAAUAUUGGACAAUGGGGGCAACCCUGAUCCAGCCAUGCCGCGUGUGUGAAGAAGGCCCUCGGGUUGUAAAGCACUUUCAGUGAGGAAGAACGCCUGGUGGUUAAUACCCAUCAGGAAAGACAUCACUCACAGAAGAAGCACCGGCUAACUCCGUGCCAGCAGCCGCGGUAAUACGGAGGGUGCGAGCGUUAAUCGGAAUUACUGGGCGUAAAGCGCGCGUAGGUGGCUUGAUAAGCCGGUUGUGAAAGCCCCGGGCUCAACCUGGGAACGGCAUCCGGAACUGUCAAGCUAGAGUGCAGGAGAGGAAAGUAGAAUUCCCGGUGUAGCGGUGAAAUGCGUAGAGAUCGGGAGGAAUACCAGUGGCGAAGGCGGCCUACUGGACUGACACUGACACUGAGGUGCGAAAGCGUGGGUAGCAAACAGGAUUAGAUACCCUAGUAGUC
This 465-nucleotide ribosomal RNA is filed under the name Vreelandella stevensii. Its description in RNAcentral is "partial 16S ribosomal RNA". It matches the Rfam family "Bacterial small subunit ribosomal RNA", at positions 338 to 795 of the family's 1533-position model. The record is from RNAcentral. Lineage: Bacteria; Pseudomonadati; Pseudomonadota; Gammaproteobacteria; Oceanospirillales; Halomonadaceae.